This 1353-nucleotide ribosomal RNA is filed under the name Zorotypus delamarei. RNAcentral describes it as "SSU rRNA". It matches the Rfam family "Eukaryotic small subunit ribosomal RNA", at positions 583 to 1811 of the family's 1831-position model. Lineage: Eukaryota; Metazoa; Arthropoda; Insecta; Zoraptera; Zorotypidae. The record is from RNAcentral.
UUCCAGCUCCAGUAGCAUAUGCUAAUGUUGAUGCGGUUAAAAAGCUCGUAGUCUGAACUGUGUCCUGCGCUGCCGGUCCACAGCAUGCCUGUGCCGACUGUGUACGUCGCAAGGACGUCUUUGCUGGACGCGGAGGAGGUCCGGUCGUUCGGCUCGGUGCGGUUCAGCCUUUCGUUGUUGUUGGGGUUCCGGCCCCUCUCUUCGUCAGGUGUCGAGUCCGCAUCGCAGCUCCUUCCGGUACCGCAAUCCGCACUUGAGGUCCCGACCUGGUGCUCUUAAUCGAGUGCCUCGGAGGGCCAGCACUCUUACUUUGAACAAACUCGAGUGCUCAAAGCAGGCCUUCCGGCCUUGACGCUGUGUGCAUGGAAUAAUGGAAUAGGACCUCGGUUCUAUUUCGCUUGGUUCUACGGACCGAGGUAAUGAUCAAAAGGAGCAGUCGGGGGCAUUCGUAUUGUUGAGUUAGAGGUGAAAUUCUUGGAUCUCAGCAAGACGGACUAAAGCGAAAGCAUUUGCCAAGUAUGUUUUCAUUGAUCAAGAGCGAAAGUUGGAGGAUCGAAGGCGAUCAGAUACCGCCCUAGUUCUAACUAUAAACUAUGCCAGCCAGCGAUGCGCCGAAGUCGCUUUGACUCGGCGUGGAGCCCCCGGGAAACCAGAGCUUUCAGGUUCCGGGGGAAGUAUGGUUGCAAAGCUGAAACUUAAAGGAAUUGACGGAAGGGCACCACCAGAAGUGGAGCCUGCGGCUUAAUUUGACUCAACACGGGGAAACUUACCAGGGCAGGACAUAUGCAGGAUUGACAGAUUGAAGAUCUUUCUUGAUUAUGUGGAUGGUGGUGCAUGGCCGUUCCUAGUUGGUGGGGUGGCCUGUCUGGUUUAUUCCGAUAACGAACGAGACCCUGUCUUGCUAAAUAGUCCACAUUUGAAAUCCCUACGGGGCUAUCUGAGAGAGACCCUUCUUAGAGGGAACAGCGGCCUAGAGUCGCAUGACAAGGGGCUAUAACAGGUCUGAGAUGCCCUUAGAUGUCCUGGGCCGCACGCGUGCUACAAUGAAAGAAGCAGAAUGCACGCUCCUGGUCCGAGAGGAUUAGGUAAUCACAAAAUUCCUUCAUGCAGGGGAUAGGGGUUUGCAAUUAACCCCUUGAACAAGGAAUUCCCAGUAGGUGCGGAUCAAGAUUUCGCGUCGAUUGAGUCCCUGCCCUUUGUGCACACCGCCCGUCGCUACUACCGAUUGAAUGGUCUAGUGAGGUCUUUGGACCGGGGCUUGAGACGCAUACCAUGCGUCUCAUCAGCUCUGGAAGGCUGACCGAACUUGCUCGUUUAGAGGAAGUAAAAGUCGUAACAAGGUUACCGUAGGUG